This 253-nucleotide ribosomal RNA is filed under the name uncultured bacterium. RNAcentral's name for it is "partial 16S ribosomal RNA". It matches the Rfam family "Bacterial small subunit ribosomal RNA", at positions 524 to 776 of the family's 1533-position model. The record is from RNAcentral.
UACGUAGGGGGCUAGCGUUGUCCGGAAUCAUUGGGCGUAAAGCGCGCGUAGGCGGCCAGAUAAGUCCGGUGUGAAAGUCACAGGCUCAACCUGUGAAUGCCGCUGGAAACUGUCUGGCUUGAGUCCGGAAGGGGCGAGUGGAAUUCCUGGUGUAGCGGUGAAAUGCGCAGAUAUCAGGAGGAACACCGGUGGCGAAGGCGGAUCUCUGGGCCUUACCUGACGCUCAGGCGCGAAAGCUAGGGGAGCGAACUGG